GACGAACGCUGGCGGCGUGCUUAACACAUGCAAGUCGAACGGUGAAGCGCUUGCCUUUUUGGUGGGUGUGGAUGAGUGGCGAACGGGUGAGUAACACGUGAGUAACCUGCCCUCUUCUUCUGGAUAACCUCAUGAAAGUGGGGCUAAUACGGGGUAUUCCGGGUCUGUCGCAUGGCGGGUUUGGGAAAGAUUGCGCCUUUGGGUGUUUUCGGUGGGGGAUGGGCUCGCGGCCUAUCAGCUUGUUGGUGGGGUGAUGGCCUACCAAGGCGGUGACGGGUAGCCGGCCUGAGAGGGUGGACGGCCACACUGGGACUGAGACACGGCCCAGACUCCUGCGGGAGGCAGCAGUGGGGAAUAGUGCACAAUGGGCGCAAGCCUGAUGCAGCGACGCCGCGUGAGGGAUGGAGGCCUUCGGGUUGUGAACCUCUUUCGCCAGUGAAGAAGGCCUGCUCCUGUGUGGGUGGGUUGACGGUAGCUGGAUAAGAAGCGCCGGCUAACUACGUG
RNAcentral lists this ribosomal RNA (504 nucleotides) under uncultured bacterium. RNAcentral's name for it is "partial 16S ribosomal RNA". It matches the Rfam family "Bacterial small subunit ribosomal RNA", at positions 28 to 507 of the family's 1533-position model. The record is from RNAcentral.